Molecule: transfer RNA, 95 nt
Filed under: Cadophora sp. DSE1049
Lineage: Eukaryota; Fungi; Ascomycota; Leotiomycetes; Helotiales; Ploettnerulaceae
Rfam family: tRNA
About the family: Transfer RNA (tRNA) molecules are approximately 80 nucleotides in length. Their secondary structure includes four short double-helical elements and three loops (D, anti-codon, and T loops).
Source: Rfam by way of RNAcentral
UCCCGACUGGUGUAGUGGUUAGCAUUUCCGCUUUUCAAAGCUUCUGCAUUGAAAGAUAAACGCGGGAGACCGGGGUUCAAUUCCCCGGUCGGGAA